AUUUUCAACAAAAAAAUUGUAUUGAAGUUGGAGGAAAGUUUUGGAAAAUGUUUUCCUUACUUUUUGAAGGGAAGUCGUUUUCCUUGAAUUUGAGGAAAAUGAGUUGAUUUGGAAAACAUAUUCCAAAAUAUUUUAUCCAACCAAACAUGGGAAAAUUGGAAAUCAUUUUCUGGAAAAUAUUAUGCUUCAUACCAAACACACCCUUAGUGACGAUAAGUGUAAUAGUAGACAAUAUCAUACUCCGCCUGAAUGUUGUUACUUGCUAGACAAAUAUGGGCUUCUCUCCACUCGUAGAAGGUUAGAAUUCGCAUGAAGCUCAUCUCUCCUCCAUCGACUUAACAGAAAUUGGACCUAGAAUUGCUUGGAAUAGCUUGUUAGACCUGACAAUUUUCAGAUGGGAACUGCUAGUGUUGAAACUCAAAAAAGCAUAGGCAACGGGAUAAACCAACAAGACAUCUACAUUUAUAUUAUUGGAUAAAGGAUGUUAGUUUUUUUUUGUUGUAAAGUAGUUGUGUAAAUAAUGACAGUGAUUGAUGUAUUAAAUUGUGUAUUCAUAUACAUAUAUCAUAUAUGUAUAAAAGCAGAGUAUGAUAAUUUGUGUAUGUGCAUCUAAUUAUUGCUUUUUGAAAAUUGUAUUACAUUUUUAAAAAUUGGAAAUCUAAGAACAUAUAUAUAGAG
This 678-nucleotide long non-coding RNA is filed under the name Solanum tuberosum (potato). Its description in RNAcentral is "long non-coding RNA (STUB_LNC007911)". The record is from RNAcentral. Lineage: Eukaryota; Viridiplantae; Streptophyta; Magnoliopsida; Solanales; Solanaceae.